Molecule: unclassified non-coding RNA, 220 nt
Filed under: Hevea brasiliensis (rubber tree)
Lineage: Eukaryota; Viridiplantae; Streptophyta; Magnoliopsida; Malpighiales; Euphorbiaceae
Source: RNAcentral
GUUUUCCUUCCUCCACCAGGUUCUGGUAAUGCAUCAUCUCCACAGAUAUCAACAGCUACAACUGAAAUAAACUUUCCUGGGGAGACAUCAUCACUGCCAGAUAAGGAAAACGGAAUAGGGAAAGCUAAUAUUGUUACAUGUGCUUCUCCAAAAGAGAAAUCAGAUGGAAAGACUCAAAGACAAGAUUGUAAUGGAAAUACAGAUGGAAGGGCUGUGACAC